Molecule: ribosomal RNA, 301 nt
Filed under: uncultured bacterium
Lineage: Bacteria
Description: partial 16S ribosomal RNA
Rfam family: Bacterial small subunit ribosomal RNA
Source: RNAcentral
CAGUCGCCGCGGGAAUACGUAGGUGGCAAGCGUUGUCCGGAAUUAUUGGGCGUAAAGGGCUCGCAGGCGGUUUCUUACGUCUGAUGUGAAAGCCCCCGGCUCAACCGGGGAGGGUCAUUGGAAACUGGGAAACUUGAGUGCAGAAGAGGAGAGUGGAAUUCCACGUGUAGCGGUGAAAUGCGUAGAGAUGUGGAGGAACACCAGUGGCGAAGGCGACUCUCUGGUCUGUAACUGACGCUGAGGAGCGAAAGCGUGGGGAGCGAACAGGAUUAGAUACCCCCGUAGUCCCUGUCUCUUAUAC